AGAGUUUGAUCCUGGCUCAGAACGAACGCUGGCGGCAGGCUUAACACAUGCAAGUCGAACGCGAACGCACCUUCGGGUGUUAUUAGAGUGGCAGACGGGUGAGUAACGCGUGGGUAUCUACCCAAUGGUAAGGAAUAACUCAGGGAAACCUGGGCUAAUACCUUAUAAGCCCCUAGGGGGAAAGAUUUAUUGCCAUUGGAUGAGCCCGCGUCAGAUUAGCUAGUUGGUAGGGUAAAGGCCUACCAAGGCGACGAUACGUAGCUGGUCUGAGAGGAUGAUCAGCCACACUGGGACUGAGACACGGCCCAGACUCCUACGGGAGGCAGCAGUGGGGAAUAUUGGACAAUGGGCGAAAGCCUGAUCCAGCCAUGCCGCGUGAGUGAUGAAGGCCCUAGGGUUGUAAAACUCUUUCACCGGUGAAGAUAAUGACGGUAGCCGGAGAAGAAGCCCCGGCUAACUCCGUGCCAGCAGCCGCGGUAAU
This 481-nucleotide ribosomal RNA is filed under the name uncultured bacterium. RNAcentral's name for it is "bacterial SSU rRNA". It matches the Rfam family "Bacterial small subunit ribosomal RNA", at positions 8 to 524 of the family's 1533-position model. The record is from RNAcentral.